GAGACUCCAUAAAUCAUUAAUGUUUAAUAAGCAUAUUAUAUAUACCUAGUCUGAUUUGAUUCAGCUGUUAAAGGCAUAUUAUUAAUCUAAGAAAUUUAGGUUUGAAUCCCAACACCCUAUAACCCCAAUCUCCAACUCAAAAAAUAAGCACAUCAUCUAUAAUUUAAAAAAAUAAAUAAAUAAAUAAAAACACAGCAAAAUAUUCCUCCACUUCAGAAAACUAGAGAACUUUUUUUACUACUUAAUGGGCAGCUAAAAUAUUAUUAAUACACAUACUAUUCACCAUUUAAUGCAAUUUUAUUGCACAAAGUUAUAUCGUCAUUAUGCAAUCACACAAAAGUUGCACGAUAUCUUUCUCAUGUAUGAAUAAUUGUAGACGUACAAGAGACGCUUAAAAAGUGGCAUUUUGUGAGCCAAUAGAACAAAAUGUGUCCGUAAUUGUAUUGUUUUGAUGUCAACGGUAGGCAAGUGGUUCGUUGUAAUCUAUCAAAUUUUCAAAUUAAAUUGGUAAUAUUAUCAAAAUUUCAAAAAUUUAGUAUAAUCGGAUGGUAGGCAAGUGGUAAUAUUAAAUUGGUAAUUAUCAAAAUUUCAAAUAUAUUAAGUUGAUGGUAGGCAAGUGGUAAUAUUAAAUUGGUAAUUAUCAAAUUUUCAACUAUAUUAGGUUGAUGGUAGGCGAGUGGUCGUUGUAAUAGGAUGAAAGGUCAUAGAAAAAAUAUAAGAAGUUAAUAACGCUAAAAAAAAAAUCAUAGCAGUAAGACUUGAAAUUUUGUUAAGUCUUUAUAAACUCAUUUUCUUUAACGGAUGUUUUUAAAAUUGUAGUCCAUGAAAAUGACAUAUAUAACAGUUUAUAUGAUUUGUUUUUCUUUUAAUUUCUUUCUCUCCAUCGUUUCCUGCCGUCUCUCCAUGUCUUUAUUUCUCAAAAUAUUAUAAUUUCAAAUCAUUAGUUUAUAUGAUUUGUUUUUCUUUUAAUUUCUUCCUCUCCAUCGUUUCGGCCGUCUCUCCAUGUCUUUAUUUCUCAAAAUAUUAUAAUUUCAAAUCAUUUCAUAUGUUAGUCAAUAAUAUUGUUAAUAAUACUUCUUUAGCGUUUUAGGUUUUAUUUAUUUAAAGAGAUAUUUAAAAAAUAUCUUCUAAAAUAUUUUCCAUAAAAGAUAUUUUAUAAUAAAAUAACUUUUUUUUUUAUUAUUUAAUUUUUAUUUAAAAAUUAAAAUAUAUUAAUAAAUUUUUAUAUUGGUAUUUUACUAAGAUUUUGAAAUUGUAAAAAUGAUAUUUUGUUAAAAAAUAUUUUUAAUUAACCAAUUUUAGAAAUGUUAAAUGGUUUUUGAAAAACAAAUUGUGGAAAACUAAGAAAGCUUGCCUAAAAAUUAAUAUAAUUUUUUAUGAUUGAAGUAAUAAAAAGAUACAAUAAAAAUCAUGGCAGUGGAUUUGGAACUUUUUUCAUUUUUCGGUCUUCUGCAACGAAGAAUUAAGUUAAGCCUUGUUUGAGUAUCAUGUUUUUAAAAUUCUGGUCCUAGAAGAGAACUUUUAUGCUUCGGUUGAGUAAGUGUUUUCAUCAUGCAUUAUUCAAUUGCAAUUAAAAAGUUUGAUUUGCAUCAAUUCAUUUUAAUUACUUUUGAUAAUAUAUGAUUUAGUUAAUAAUGGAAGUAAUUUAAUUUCUUUAACUAAUAUACCUAAACUAAAUAUUAUUUAUAUUUUUAUCAAUGAUACUAAAGUAUAUAUUGUUUUUUAAUAAUAUAUAACUAUAUUUUCAUUUAUAUUAUAAGCUUAUAAAUUAAUAUUAAUUAAAUUAUACAUUAU
RNAcentral lists this long non-coding RNA (1794 nucleotides) under Manihot esculenta (cassava). RNAcentral's name for it is "long non-coding RNA (MESC_LNC012171)". The record is from RNAcentral. Lineage: Eukaryota; Viridiplantae; Streptophyta; Magnoliopsida; Malpighiales; Euphorbiaceae.